This 253-nucleotide ribosomal RNA is filed under the name uncultured bacterium. RNAcentral describes it as "partial 16S ribosomal RNA". It matches the Rfam family "Bacterial small subunit ribosomal RNA", at positions 524 to 776 of the family's 1533-position model. The record is from RNAcentral.
UACGUAGGUGGCAAGCGUUGUCCGGAUUUACUGGGCGUAAAGAGCGCGCAGGCGGUCGUGCAAGUCGCGUGUGAAAGCCCCCGGCUCAACUGGGGAGGGUCACGCGAUACUGCUCGACUCGAAGGCAGGAGAGGGAAGCGGAAUUCCCGGUGUAGUGGUGAAAUGCGUAGAUAUCGGGAGGAACACCUAUGGCGAAGGCAGCUCGCUGGGACGUUACUGACGCUGAGGAGCGAAAGCGUGGGGAGCGAACAGA